GAUAAACGCUGGCGGCGCACAUAAGACAUGCAAGUCGAACGGAAGUCGUUAAUGAUUAGGAAAGGAAAGAGAUUUGAUUUAUCAGAUGGGAAUAAUGGAAUAAGAGUUGACAAAAGGCUUUAGUGGCGGACUGGUGAGUAACACGUAGGUAACCUGCCUAUUAGAGGGGAAUAACAAUGAGAAAUCAUUGCUAAGACCGCAUAACAUUGCUUUAUUGCAUGAUAGAGUAAUCAAAGGAGAGAUCUGCUAAUAGAAGGGCCUGCGGCUGAUUAGCUAGUUGGUGAGGUAAGAGCUUACCAAGGCGACGAUCAGUAGCCGGAUUGAGAGAUUGAACGGCCACAUUGGGACUGAGAUACGGCCCAGACUCCUACGGGAGGCAGCAGUCGGGAAUAUUGGACAAUGGAGGGAACUCUGAUCCAGUGACGCCGCGUAUAGGAAGAAGUUAUUCGUAAUGUAAACUAUUGUCGACAGGGAAGAGAAAGGACAGUACCUGUGGAGGAAGCCCCGGCUAACUACGUGCCAGCAGCCGCGGUAAUACGUAGGGGGCGAGCGUUAUCCGGAAUUAUUGGGUGUAAAGGGCGCGUAGGCGGUGAUACAAGUUAGAUGUGAAAGUCCUCGGCUUAACUGAGGGAGUGCAACUAAAACUAUAUAACUUGAGUGAGAUAGAGGGAAGUGGAAUUUCUAGUGUAGAGGUGAAAUUCGUAGAUAUUAGGAGGAACACCAGUGGCGAAGGCGACUUUCUGGAUCUCAACUGACGCUGAGGCGCGAAAGUGUGGGGAGCAAACAGGAUUAGAUACCCUGGUAGUCCACACUGUAACAGAUGGAUACUAGGUGUAGGUAACGAAGUUAUCUGUGCCGACGCAAACGCAUUAAGUAUCCCACCUGGGGAGUACGAUCGCAAGGUUGAAACUCAAAGGAAUUGACGGGGGCCCGCACAAGCAGUGGAGUAUGUGGUUUAAUUCGAAGCAACGCGAAGAACCUUACCAGGGCUUGACAUAUAUAUGAAAAGUUAAGAGAUUAACAAUACCUUUGGGACAUAUAAACAGGUGGUGCAUGGUUGUCGUCAGCUCGUGUCGUGAGAUGUUGGGUUAAGUCCCGCAACGAGCGCAACCCCUGUUGUUAGUUGCUAACGAGUGAAGUCGAGCACUUUAACAAUACUGCCGGUGAUAAAUCGGAGGAAGGUGGGGAUGAGGUCAAAUCAUCAUGCCCUUUAUGUCCUGGGCUACACACGUACUACAAUGGCUGUUACAGAGUGAAGCGAGGUAGAGAUACGGAGCGAAACACAAAAGACAGUCUCAGUUCGGAUUGUAGGCUGAAAUUCGCCUACAUGAAGUCGGAAUUGCUAGUAAUUGCAGGUCAGCAUACUGCAGUGAAUACGUUCCCGGGCC
Molecule: ribosomal RNA, 1388 nt
Filed under: uncultured Eubacteriales bacterium
Lineage: Bacteria; Bacillati; Bacillota; Clostridia; Eubacteriales
Description: bacterial SSU rRNA
Rfam family: Bacterial small subunit ribosomal RNA
Source: RNAcentral